This 447-nucleotide ribosomal RNA is filed under the name uncultured bacterium. RNAcentral describes it as "bacterial SSU rRNA". It matches the Rfam family "Bacterial small subunit ribosomal RNA", at positions 329 to 793 of the family's 1533-position model. The record is from RNAcentral.
GGCCAGACUCCUACGGGAGGCAGCAGUGGGGAAUAUUGCACAAUGGGGGGAACCCUGAUGCAGCGACGCCGCGUGGGUGAAGGAGCACCUCGGUGCGUAAAGCCCUAUCGGCAGGGAAGAAACAGACGGUACCUGACUAAGAAGCCCCGGCUAACUACGUGCCAGCAGCCGCGGUAAUACGUAGGGGGCAAGCGUUAUCCGGAUUUACUGGGUGUAAAGGGAGCGUAGACGGCGAUGCAAGCCAGAUGUGAAAGCCCGGGGCUCAACCCCGGGACUGCAUUUGGAACUGUGUGGCUGGAGUGUCGGAGAGGCAGGCGGAAUUCCUAGUGUAGCGGUGAAAUGCGUAGAUAUUAGGAGGAACACCAGUGGCGAAGGCGGCCUGCUGGGCUUUUACUGACGCUGAGGCUCGAAAGUGUGGGGAGCAAACAGGAUUAGAUACCCCUGUAA